AGCAGCCGCGGUAAUUCCAGCUCCAAUAGCGUAUAUUAAAGUUGUUGCAGUUAAAAAGCUCGUAGUUGAAUUUCAGGCCUGGCUGGGCGGUCCGCCCUUCGGGUGAGUACUGCCUGUGGUCGGGUCCUACCUUCUGGCGAAGCGUCAUGGCCUUCACCGGCCGUGGCGGGGAACCAGGACUUUUACUGUGAAAAAUUAGAGUGUUCAAAGCAGGCAAUCGCUUGGAUACAUUAGCAUGGAAUAAUGGAAUAGGACAAUGGUUCUAUUUGUUGGUUUCUAGGACCGUUGUAAUGAUUAAUAGGGAUAGUUGGGGGCAUUAGUAUUCAAUUGUCAGAGGUGAAAUUCUUGGAUUUAUUGAAGACUAACUACUGCGAAAGCAUUUGCCAAGGAUGUUUUCAUUAAUCAAGAACGAAAGUUAGGGGAUCGAAGACGAUCAGAUACCGUCGUAGU
RNAcentral lists this ribosomal RNA (450 nucleotides) under uncultured Paraglomus. Its description in RNAcentral is "SSU rRNA". It matches the Rfam family "Eukaryotic small subunit ribosomal RNA", at positions 569 to 1024 of the family's 1831-position model. The record is from RNAcentral. Lineage: Eukaryota; Fungi; Glomeromycota; Glomeromycetes; Paraglomerales; Paraglomeraceae.